Molecule: ribosomal RNA, 700 nt
Filed under: uncultured beta proteobacterium
Lineage: Bacteria; Pseudomonadati; Pseudomonadota; Betaproteobacteria
Description: bacterial SSU rRNA
Rfam family: Bacterial small subunit ribosomal RNA
Source: RNAcentral
CUUGCACCUGGUGGCGAGUGGCGAACGGGUGAGUAAUACAUCGGAACGUACCUUAUCGUGGGGGAUAACGCAGCGAAAGCUGUGCUAAUACCGCAUACGCCCUGAGGGGGAAAGCGGGGGAUCGAAAGACCUCGCGCGAUUAGAGCGGCCGAUGCCUGAUUAGCUUGUUGGUGGGGUAAAAGCCCACCAAGGCGACGAUCAGUAGCUGGUCUGAGAGGACGAUCAGCCACACUGGGACUGAGACACGGCCCAGACUCCUACGGGAGGCAGCAGUGGGGAAUUUUGGACAACGGGGGAAACCCUGAUCCAGCAAUGCCGCGUGAGUGAAGAAGGCCUUCGGGUUGUAAAGCUCUUUUGUCAGGGAAGAAACACCGGCUCUAACACAGUCCGGGAAUGACGGUACCUGAAGAAUAAGCACCGGCUAACCACGUGCCAGCAGCCGCGGUAAUACGUAGGGUGCGAGCGUUAAUCGGAAUUACUGGGCGUAAAGCGUGCGCAGGCGGUUAUACAAGACAGGCGAGAAAUCCCCGGGCUUAACCUGGGAAUGGCGCCUGUGACUGUAUAGCUAGAGUGUGUCAGAGGGGGGUAGAAUUCCACGUGUAGCAGUGAAAUGCGUAGAUAUGUGGAGGAAUACCAAUGGCGAAGGCAGCCCCCUGGGAUAACACUGACGCUCAUGCACGAAAGCGCGGGGAGCAAACAG